This 437-nucleotide ribosomal RNA is filed under the name uncultured bacterium. Its description in RNAcentral is "partial 16S ribosomal RNA". It matches the Rfam family "Bacterial small subunit ribosomal RNA", at positions 29 to 507 of the family's 1533-position model. The record is from RNAcentral.
AGCGAACGCUGGCGGCAGGCUUAGCACAUGCAAGUCGAGCGGGCAUCCUUGUGGUGUCCGCGGCAGACGGGUGAGUAACGCGUGGGAACGUGCCCUUCGGUUCGGAAUAACUCAGGGAAACUUGAGCUAAUACCGGAUACGUGCGAGAGCAGAAAGGUUUAUCUGCCGAAGGAUCGGCCCGCGUCUGAUUAGCUAGUUGGUGAGGUUAUGGCUCACCAAGGCGACGAUCAGUAGCUGGUCUGAGAGGAUGAUCAGCCACACUGGGACUGAGACACGGCCCAGACUCCUACGGGAGGCAGCAGUGGGGAAUAUUGGACAAUGGGGGCAACCCUGAUCCAGCCAUGCCGCGUGAGUGAUGACGGCCUUAGGGUUGUAAAGCUCUUUUCUCCGGGACGAUAAUGACGGUACCGGAGGAAUAAGCCCCGGCUAACUUCGUG